RNAcentral lists this ribosomal RNA (496 nucleotides) under uncultured bacterium. RNAcentral's name for it is "partial 16S ribosomal RNA". It matches the Rfam family "Bacterial small subunit ribosomal RNA", at positions 28 to 507 of the family's 1533-position model. The record is from RNAcentral.
GAUGAACGCUGGCGGCGUGCCUAAUACAUGCAAGUCGAGCGAACAGACGAGGAGCUUGCUCCUCUGACGUUAGCGGCGGACGGGUGAGUAACACGUGGAUAACCUACCUAUAAGACUGGGAUAACUUCGGGAAACCGGAGCUAUACCGGAAAAUAUAUUGAACCGCAUGGUUCAAUAGUGAAAGACGGUUUUGCUGUCUCUCAUAGAUGGCUCCGCGCUGAUUUAUCUAGUUGGUAAGGUAACGGCUUACAAAGGCAACGAUCUGUAGCCGACCUGAGAGGGUGAUCGGCCACACUGGAACUGAGACACGGUCCAGACUCCUACGGGAGGCAGCAGUAGGGAAUCUUCCGCAAUGGGCGAAAGCCUGACGGAGCAGCGCCGCGUGAGUGAUGAAGGUCUUCGGAUCGUAAAACUCUGUUAUUAGGGAGGAACAAAUGUGUAGGUAACUAUGCACGUCUUGACGGUACCUAAUCAGAAAGCCACGGCUAACUACGUG